AUAUCAAUCCAAACCCGUCUCGC
Molecule: non-coding RNA, 23 nt
Filed under: Arabidopsis thaliana (thale cress)
Lineage: Eukaryota; Viridiplantae; Streptophyta; Magnoliopsida; Brassicales; Brassicaceae
Source: RNAcentral